Microtus oregoni (creeping vole) is the source of this 10420-nucleotide RNA transcript. It is a transcript of the gene named potassium inwardly rectifying channel subfamily J member 6, with no coding region annotated. The transcript is spliced from 5 exons. The record is from RefSeq and is a predicted model, not a curated record. NCBI's taxonomy places the organism in Eukaryota, Metazoa, Chordata, Mammalia, Rodentia, Cricetidae.
UCGGCUCCAUCUCUAGGCCCCCCGCCGCUGCCUCUCCUGCGAUGCUGAUGCCUGCCUCUGUGUCACCUUGGUUCUCCAGCGUGCGGCGCUGUGCCCGCUUUUAUCUCGAGAAGAGAAGCAUAGCUUAGUGCUCUGACAGCGCGGUUCAGUCCGUGGGGCUGGAACCGAAUAGCAUUCACUGAAUCUGCGGCUUUCAUGAAGUCUCCCUACGAGGUCCUUCACUUUGCUCCUCAACGUGGACUUCCCCCACCCCCUGCCAUUCUAGGCUCCCUCCCUCCGUUGCUGCCGGACUCCCUCCUCUGUCGCUGCCCACACGCGCGCUCCUCUGCCCCGCGGUGGCCCCAGCGCCCAGCCCUCCAGCCAGAGGGAGCCAGUCACCAGACGGCAGCACCUGGCUGGAGAGGUUGGGCGGGCCGAGGGUAGGGAUCCGCGGGAACCAGAGAGCCUGGAGCUGGAGCAGAAGCUGGACCAACCGCGAGCGGAAGAAUGGAGUCUCCCCACAGCCUGCCGAGGCUGAUGUGAAAUUGGACCAUCUGCUUCCAGUUCGUCUGUUACCUCUUCUUUUUGUGUUUUCUUCCCUCGCCAUUCACAGAGGAGUGAAUUAUUAAAUCUUGCUCCGUUCCAAGACAGGCGACCACGAUGGAGUGACCCACCCUGUCCACCACAAGGAAAAGCACAAAGAAGAAAUGACGAUGGCCAAGUUAACUGAAUCCAUGACGAAUGUCCUGGAAGGCGAUUCCAUGGACCAGGAUGUGGAGAGCCCGGUGGCCAUUCAUCAGCCAAAGUUGCCUAAGCAGGCCAGGGACGACCUGCCAAGACACAUCAGCCGAGACAGGACCAAAAGGAAAAUCCAGAGGUAUGUGAGGAAGGAUGGGAAGUGUAACGUCCACCAUGGCAACGUGAGGGAGACCUACCGGUACCUGACGGACAUCUUCACCACCCUCGUGGACCUCAAGUGGAGAUUCAACCUGUUGAUCUUCGUCAUGGUCUACACAGUGACAUGGCUCUUCUUUGGAAUGAUCUGGUGGCUAAUUGCAUACAUCCGGGGAGAUAUGGACCACAUAGAGGACCCCUCAUGGACUCCCUGCGUCACCAACCUCAAUGGGUUUGUCUCUGCUUUUUUGUUCUCAAUAGAGACAGAAACCACCAUCGGUUAUGGCUACCGGGUGAUCACGGACAAGUGCCCCGAGGGAAUUAUCCUCCUCUUAAUCCAGUCCGUGUUGGGGUCCAUUGUCAAUGCAUUCAUGGUAGGAUGCAUGUUUGUGAAAAUAUCCCAACCCAAGAAGAGGGCAGAGACCCUGGUCUUUUCCACGCACGCAGUGAUCUCCAUGCGGGAUGGGAAGCUCUGCCUGAUGUUCCGGGUAGGGGACCUGAGGAAUUCCCACAUCGUGGAGGCUUCCAUCCGAGCCAAGCUGAUCAAGUCCAAACAGACUUCAGAGGGGGAGUUCAUCCCCCUCAAUCAGACGGACAUCAACGUGGGGUACUACACCGGGGAUGACCGUCUCUUUCUAGUGUCACCUUUGAUUAUUAGCCACGAGAUUAACCAGCAGAGUCCCUUCUGGGAGAUCUCCAAAGCACAGCUCCCUAAAGAGGAACUGGAGAUUGUGGUCAUCCUGGAGGGAAUGGUGGAAGCAACAGGAAUGACGUGCCAAGCUCGGAGCUCCUACAUCACCAGUGAGAUCUUGUGGGGUUACCGCUUCACCCCCGUCCUAACGCUGGAAGAUGGGUUCUACGAAGUUGACUACAACAGCUUCCAUGAGACCUACGAGACCAGCACCCCGUCCCUUAGUGCCAAAGAGCUGGCCGAGCUGGCUAACAGGGCAGAGCUGCCCCUGAGUUGGUCCGUGUCCAGCAAACUGAACCAACAUGCAGAACUGGAGACAGAAGAAGAAGAGAAGAACCCGGAAGAACAAACGGAGAGGAAUGGUGACGUGGCAAACCUAGAGAAUGAAUCCAAAGUGUAGGCCCUGCUGGGUCAGCCUUUCCCUCCCCUCAGACACCACCCUUCCUUGUCUCUCAUGUCCCUCUCUUCUGUUUCUCUCACUUUGAUCUUGAUUUAUUUAUAUUUCAUUUUGGCAUUUCCAGAAAACAAAUCUUCAAGGUGUAAAAUGCCUACCUGCCCUCAGAUGUUCAGAUGGACGAGCAGACAGGGAUUUGGUCGAGGGUCAGGGUACCUGUAUUUGUGGCCCAAGCCUGGUCUCCACCCUCAGGAGAGACUUAUCCACUGACCCACUUAACUGUCCAACAUACGUCACUCAAAAGAGCUGUCAAGGGUUUUACCCAGUGCCCAGAGGUCACCUGCUUACCGUGGCCGUAGGUCACACCGGAUAGUCCAUUCGGUUUUACAGAAUCCAGUUCAUCUCACCUAGCACAGGGCAGGUGCUUGCCCACUCAGACACUAUGGGUGCAGGACCCAGAUAGCCAGGGAUAGACCACUGUACAUAGAUCUGCCCUAUGGAAUUAUUUUCUUUUGGCAAUUAGUAACACCACUCAGCAUGCACAAGAGUACCGUGGAGCAGAACUCCUAAUAUUGUACAUAAUGUAUCAUUCAUGUAGCUUGAGAAAUACAACUUUAGAAAUAAGAAAAAAGAUUCCUAAUGUACAGUAGGUGUUUCUAUUUUGUUAUCUGUGUCUUUUGAUCAUCUUGAUCCCCCUGACUGCUGGCCCUCUAAAUGCAUGGCCUUUGUUCCAGGCCCCAGGUUGACAGCUGCUAGGGUACCGUUCUGUUCCCUUGUGAUCCUUCUGUUGAAUCUAAUAAGCCAUAGGUCUGAGGACAGUCCAGAGGCAGCAGAUUGCAAAUCCCACCACCCAAAACUCUGAACUACUGUGACACAUUUACAAAAUGGAUGUCAUUUGUUUAUAGAUAGCAAGGGUCUCUCUGACCAGCCUGGGGAACAGGGACUAGCGCAGCCCCCCACGUGACACUCGCCAUAAACCCUAACCCUUUGGUGCACAGCAGUUUAAGAAAACUUUCUGUAAAACCAUUGAUUGCUCUUCUAUGUAGUCACAAGAAACUGCGGGCAUUUCAUGUGGCAAGUCAGCAGAGGGCGACUUGGGUGUGAAGCCACGGCUUUCAGGAAGUCAUGCAAUGGGUGACAAUAUUGCGUUACCAACUCCCUGCCCUCUGACGUCAUCGGGCAAGCCUUUCCCUGGGGCCUGUCCUUACCAUUUCUUAUGCUGUUUUUUUUUUAAAUCUUCUCUCAUCAUUAUUGUUGCUAUUAUUAUGAAAUGGCCAGAGUCUGGCAUACAAAGGUCCUUCCAGAGUACGAGAGUAUUCCACUACUUGCAAUCUUCUCCAAGGGCCUCUCAAUCAAAAGAGCACAAACAACAACCAUCAAACCAUUCUUCCUAGCUUAUUUUAAUCUUCAAAGAAGGAGAGAAUGAAUGAACAAAGGAAGGCAGGCAACAUGCAUAACAAUCUAAAUUCAAAUGAAUGAAAAGUGGACUGGAAAGAGACUCUCGGGUGAGACGUUGGGGCAGGUGGAGAUUUUGCACUGUAACCGAUCUUUCUCAUUGAUUUUACACCUAUAAACUGUUCAUUCUCCAACGCCAUUGCACAUCAUAGAUACGCAUCGAAGGAUCUAAAUUUAUUUCAGCUCCUAUAGAUGUGCUCAGUUUGAGACUUUGCCCCACGGAGGUCAAAGAGGUCAAACUAGCUGCUCCCUGGUUCCCCUUUGCCACCCCUGACCAGACUGCACAGGGCUUUGCUGUAAUCUGAGUUCCUGGUCUAUAAGAGUCAGGAAUUAUGGGAAGUGGUUUCUCCAUCCAGCAUCUGGGCUGUUCCUCUCCGUCUGCAGAGAUCUUGCUACCCAAACAACUAUUUCUUGGCUCUGACUCUGGAAAACAAAGCUAUUGGCUGCAGCCCUUCCCUGCCUGCCAGCAUUUCCCUUUGGCCUUGGUUAUUAUCAAUCAAGUCAUGCAUUCUCUCUGCACACUCUAAGCCGGAGAUGGUGGAGGAAGGAGCCCGAUUUCCAAGAGGCUUGACCUUAUCUUAGCCUUAUGAAAGAUGCCCUGCUUUGGGCACCAGCCUGCAGCAGCCCAGGGCAGGGCCUGUGUAGCACAAAGAAAGAUGGGGAAAGCCGCCAGAUGUCUGCUGACUAGCUCUUGAAGACUCACUGGGCCUUUUUAAAUCUAUGACUGAAGUUUGAAGGACAAUCUCCCCUAUUGAUGGGCUGAAAGAGCAGCUUUGAAGUUGCCCUUCUCCCCUGCUCUUCAGGACACCCGGACAAUAGCCCCGUGCACAGACAUGCUGUGGCCUCAGCAGGACACUCUGAUUGGGGGGUCUCUCUCUGCCUCUCAGGGUCUUGAUGUCACUGUGGUUGGUGGCAGACGUGAGCUCAGAAUCCUUAAAGACGGGAGCUCCUGAAGGACCUUUUGUUAGAAUGUCCUUUCCAAACGUGUCUAUUUUUCUACAGUCACCAAGAAAACGGUUUGACAGUGUAUUUUGUGUCUACUGUUAAAAUUUGAAAGAAGAAGUUUCUUAUUUCCAUGAAGUCCAGCCUGGCAACCAUCUCUCAUGGGAUGUACCUUUGGAGCUAUAUGUAGGACCUGUCACAUCCCCAGAUCACCCAGACUGUCUACUAUCUCCUGGGAGUUCUGUCCUUUUAUCUAUUCCCCACAUCUAUGAUGGGUCUGAACUGAUGUUUGUUUGGUGUGAGGUUUGUGUUCAGAUUCUUUUUUUAUCUUAAUUUUGAUGUGUCUAACAGUUUGCUGAAAUAGCAGCCUUUGUCGCUUUGCUGGAUUUAUGCGGCUGUUUCUGGGCUCUCUAGUCAGGCCUAUCAUCUGUGCCCAGCCCGCCAACGCUUUUACCAAUACCACACCUUCUCUACCGAUACAGCCACUUCACUACCAGUCCUAGCAUUUGGUGGCACCUGCUGUUGUUCUUAAUUUCUGGCUGGCUUUCUUGUCUGCGGGUUAGAGGGUAAAGACAUUACGCGAGGAAGAAGACACAGACACAUGGCGGUCCCACGUGGGUGCACUUUUAAUGGGGGAGGGGUAACAAUGGGCAGGUAAAAGGUGUGCAAACACAACAGGAAAGGCGGGGGGGGGGGGGGGAGGAGAGAGAGAGCUCGUGGCGGCCCUCGCUUUUUAACGGGGAAUGCAAAGGCUUCUGGGAAUAUGUCCAUAGUCCAGGAGAAUGCUGGGAGCUGUAGUUCCGCAAAGGAACAACACCUGCCGUCUGUCUUUGCACAGUUUCUUCAACAGUGAAUGAUUCAUUUUGUCUAUUCUGAGUCUUCUGUUUCUCAUGUAAACUUUAGAGAGCUGAUAUCUACAAAUUAAUCUACUUGACUUUAGAUUGGUAUGGCGUUAACUCUAAAGAUCAAGAUAAGAAGAGAAAACACCUUGACAAGGCUGGUUUUGUUGUUUAUCUGGGUCUUCAGUGUCUUUCACCCCUUUAUAGUCUUCCUCAUAUAGAUCUUAAACAUGGUUUAUGAGACUUAUACCCAAGCAUAUUUACGUCAAGGGCUACUAAUUUAAAUGAUUAUAUUUUUUAUUUCUGAUUCUAAUCACUCAUUGCUAGUGAAUAAGAAAACAGAUGGUUUUGUAUACUAAUUUAUGUCCAAAAUCUUUAUGUAAUUAUUUUUUUUAAUCUUGGCUUUGCUGAAGUCUUUAGUCUCAGAACUCAGGAGGCAGAGGCAGGUGAGUUCGAGGCCAGCCUGGUCUACAAAGCGAGUUACAGGACAGUCAGGGCCACACAGAGAAACACUAUCUUGAAAAAACAAAAACAAAAAAAGGGGGGGUGGUCACUUCUUAAAGAUGGUCUAGAGGUGAGCGUCUCAUCUGUAAAUGAUAACUGUUUCUUCCCUCCCAAUCUGCGUAUCUUUUAUUAACUUUUCUUGUCUUAUUGCAUCAUCUACACCCAGAAUCACGUCAAAAAGCUCCCAUUCUGGGUCUGAACAGAAAACAAGUCUCUGUCAGCUAAGUGAAGUGAACCGAAGGGAGUUUUAAAGACCACUCCCCUAGUUAAAGAAAUGCCAAAAUAAACGGUAAAAAUAAAAAAGAAACAUCCCUCCAGCCAUACUUUAUAGAGAACCUCUGUGUUUAGAGCAGUUUUAUUAGUAACUGCAGAAGGCUUAGAGACCAAGAUGCACCCCUGUGACAAGUGAAUGAACAAGCAGACAGCUCAACAGUGACGCAUUCCAAAACCGAAAAAACAAUCCACAGAAUCAUGGCACAACAUAGGAUAACAUUAAGUGCAAAUAAUUAAGUUAAAAAAUUCUAAAAGGGCCAUGCUACUGUGUGAUUUCAGCUCUCUGAUUCCUACUGAGGACUUUCAUGGUGGAUGGCUGCUUGGGUUUGAUCAAAUUCUCCCUCUGCGUCCAACAGUAGCAGCACACAUGAUGUGUAUGACUCUGCCCACAGCGUGGAUUACAGGCAUUUGCUUUUGGAUGUUCAACUGCUUUUCUUAUCUGGCAUAAAUCCCACUUGGUUAUAGUAUAUAAUUCUUUUCAUGCAUUGUUAGAUUCAAUUCGUGAGCUGUUUGUGGUUGAGGAUAUUUGGAUCUGUGUUCGUGAGAGCUAUUGACCUGUAGUUUUCAUUCACUGAAGUAUCUUUUCCUCAUUUGUCCUUAGGGUGACGCUGGACUCCUAGUGUGGAUUGAGAAGUGUUUCUUCUAAUUGCAUCCUCUGAAAGCGAUUACAGAGAAUUGCUAGAUUUCCCUCCUUAACUACUUGGAAGACUCCACCCAGAAUGAGCCCAUCUGGACCUAGUACUUUCUGGCUGGAAAGGUCGUGAAUAAUUUACUUAAAGUCGGGGCUGGAGAGAGGACUCCUCGGUUAAGCUUGCUUAGUGCUCUGCAGAGGGCCUGGGUUCAGCUUCCUCGGGCUACCGCAUGUGUGUGGUGCACAUAAACCAUACAGGCAUUCACGCUCAUACACACAAAUAAAAAUAAACAAAGCUUUAAAGUCUCUAAUGUACAGAGCUUUGGGAUCAUCUGUUUCCUCUCGUGUGAGCUUUGCCAGACUGUAUGUUUCCAGGAAUGAGUCUACUUCACUCAAGCAGAGAGCGUGGAUGCAUCCUUCCGUGUCUUCUGUGUCCACGGGGUCUGUAGCUAUAUAUACCCUUCCAUCCACUUCUGCAGGGGUUUCUAGUUCUCUCUCUCUCUCUCUCCUUGUCCACUAGAAAUUUAAUUUAUUUUAUUUCAGAGAACUGGUUCUUGGGCUCUUGGUUCCAUGAGUGUUGUGACUUCCUGUUUCAGUUCUGUCAGCCCAUGCCCUUCUUUACUACCGUGCUUACUCUGGAUUUAAUCCACUCCUACUUAGAUGACUGAUUAUAAAUUACUUUUUUGCUUGAUGCAUUUGAUGCUAUAAAUUUGUGUUCAGGUUCUAUUUUUACUUCAUGUCUAAAAUUGUGAUUUCAUCUUCACUCAGUUCAGAGUAUUUUUUUAAUUUCUCUUGAGAUUUUUUUUUCCUACACCCCAUGUUACUGCGAACUGUGCUGUUUAACCUUAAAGUGUUUAAAGAUUUCCCGAGCCUCUUUCUAUUAUUGACUUCUAGCUUAAGUCCACUGUGCUCUGAAAAGGAACACUACAGAACUUUUAUAGUCUUAAUGUGUUAAGGUAUUCUAACGGCUCAGAACAGAGUGUCCUGAUGAAUGCUCUCUCUGUCCCCGAGAAGAGUCUGUCACCUGAUGUUCAAUUCCUCAUUUUUCCAGCUCUGUUUGACCCACCGUCUGUCUCUAUGAUUCUAGUUACAUCCCUAUCAGUCUAAGUCUGCGGCUCUCUUAAACCCAUGGUCCCUAACUGAGUCAACUUUUAACUUUGGAAAUUCUUCCAAAGUAGCUUCCAAAACUACUCCUGUCCCCAGCUCUCCUCCCUCCACCAGCCACACCCCCAUCUCUCCUCCACCAGCCACACCCCUCUCCCCUCUCCUACCACACUAACCCAGGUGGCAGAUAAGCAAUUAUGAGGUAGGGGUUUUCUUAGGGCACUGUGACCUCCACCAAUGUAGGAAAAUGCUUCACAGAAGGCCAGCAUCAGUGACAUAAAAUAAACACACGUCCGCACAUUAGACAAGAAAGUCAUCCAGGGGAUGGAAGAGACAGCUCAGUUUUUAAGGGCACAUGCUGCUCUUGCAGAGGACCAGAAUUUGGUGGCAGGCACCUGUAUCAGGAGACUCACAACAACCUGUAACUCCACUGUAGGGUUUCCGAUGCACCUGAGCAACACACAUGACCAUUCUAACACAACAGAUACCUAUUAAUAAAGGUCAUUUUUUUUUUUAAGUAACCCAAUACCGGCAUGUUACUGGCAAGCUGAUUUCAUCGCAACUCCAGCUCUGCCCCUGGAAAUAUGCAUGGAGGAACUUCACCAGAGCUGUUGAGUCUAAACCAAACGCUCAGCAGAAGAUGAAGCCUUGGGAGUGCUCAGGAGCCCUGCUGUGUUUUAGCUGUAACACGGUUGGCAGCAUUGCUUAUCUUCUGCCACGUUUUAGUUGUUUACCCAAAGCAGAAAGAAGAAAUCCUUUUCAUUAUUGGUUUAAAAUGACUUGUAUCUGCCUUCUCAGCAAAGGGCCUGAGGUUUGUGUGCUGAGUAAAAUAGGAGGCUUCUCUGUGAGCUAGGAUAGGAAAGAAACUAUUCUGGAAAGUUCACUAGUUCAAAAGCCCAUUGUCAAUGCCAACAUCCUUUUAUCAUGGUUGAAUGAAACCGAGGCUAAGACUGAGUCCCUAGUCCAGAGUUGUCUUGUGCUUCUGUGGACCAUAAAGCUCUCACCAAACCAUCACAAAGACCUAUCGAGACAAACCCAAGGAGCCCUGGAACUGGCCCUUUAGCUCAGGUGUCAUGAGGUCCCCACUGGAAUCCAUUUCUAAAGAACACAAAGGGCUGGGGCUGAGACCCAGGGGCUGAGAAUGGCCAGUGCUUUUCAGAGGACUCACGUUUGGUGCGCACCACCCAUGCAGGGCAGCUUGCGACCCCAGAGGACUGGUUCCCUCCUCUGAUAGUCUCAGGCACCCACACACAAGUAACACACACUCACACAGACAAAUUUAAAUUAAAUUUUAAAAUGUUUCAAGCAAGCAUAACACCCCCACAAAAAAAAAAAAGUAGGAACACAAAUAGACUUAGUCUUCAACUCUGCCCCCAGCAGUUUCCCUAAUAAAAUGCUUAUGUCCUACAGAGAAGGCUCUCGUUUUCAGGUAUAGGGCAGUCUUCAAGGCUGAGAGCGUGCCAAACAAUCCAGCAGCUAGCUAAAGUUAGACAAGGACAAGGCUCUACACGAGGCAUUCUGGUCAUGGACACUCAGCGAGCACUCGCUGUCCGUGAGCAAUGUCUUAAGCAAGGUACCCUGAAGGAUAAUAAAUAGUAACCUCCUCCAUUGUCUACAGCAAACACCACCCAUGGCCACAGCUCUUACUGUGUGACCACACAAAACCCUGGGAUUAAAUCCUGAUCCCCAUAUCACACAAGAAGCAAGUGAGUCUAGUUUUAGCGAUAAAAUACUUAGUUGGAGGGGCAGCUUUAACACAUUGAGUGGAAUUUAAGGACAGCCAGCCAGUCUCUAUAUAAACACUCAGCAACAGGAUGGCGUGGCAGGAAGGGACAUACCUGAUAUUCCUUGAGGCCUUGGCGGGCUUUCCAGGGGAAAGGCGUGUCAUAAUGAGGGGCCGGAUUGAGACGUGCUGUGGGGGAGGGGUGGCCUAUACAGGGUAGAUGACCUCCCAGGGGAUUUGAUAAAAAUACAUUGUGAAAACUGGUGCUAAAUUGUAGAUGAUCCUGAAGGAGGGACACAGACAGGCUUAUUAAUAAAGCCAUCACAGUGUCGUAGCUCCUGACGCUUUACGGUUGAACAGGAGGACAUUUUCCUCGGAACCGAAGCAGGAUGGCCUUGGCACAACUGUCCAAGCACUCCCAAAUAAUUCAGGGAAUCUGUGGGGUGGGGGUAGCUGGAAAAAUUGGAAUUUCAGAGGCAUGUGAUAGUAAAUUCUAAGGCUGGCAAAAUCCUACACUGAGAACCCUGGGCACCCCCUGGAGCUUACUUUACGCAAAAACCAAUGAUCUUUUAGAAAUGCGCAGAAAAACACAGGGAGAAAAAUCUUCCCCAGAAAUCCAGAAAUCUCCCGCGAAGGCUUCAACUUUUCUUCGCAGUAAAGUAGCUGAUACCUGCUUCUGAGGUCAUUGUUGCCAACCUCCUGCCAAGCUUUUGGAAAGCGAAAGCCAGGCAGACCUCAGGCCCUGGUUUGGCUCCUGACCCACACGUCCAUCCUUUUGUAACUCCCUCUACUCAACUCCAAGUCUGUCUGCGCACGCGCAAGCAACGAGGCGGAAGCAUGCUAAAUGCGAAAGCACAAAUUAUGUAUUGAGAAAUCUCUACAAUGCCAAAUUUUUUUUAGAAUAAAUAUAUAUAUUUAAGAACUCGCUGUGUUAGGGAAACUGUUUACAUAUUGAGGCGUUCCUCUUUUUUUGACUGGAACAAUAAAAGAA